Molecule: transfer RNA, 74 nt
Filed under: Candidatus Nesciobacter abundans
Lineage: Bacteria; Pseudomonadati; Pseudomonadota; Alphaproteobacteria; Holosporales; Holosporaceae
Rfam family: tRNA
About the family: Transfer RNA (tRNA) molecules are approximately 80 nucleotides in length. Their secondary structure includes four short double-helical elements and three loops (D, anti-codon, and T loops).
Source: Rfam by way of RNAcentral
GGGCUGGUAGCUCAGUUGGUUAGAGCGCACGCUUGAUAAGCGUGAGGUCGGAGGUUCGAGCCCUCCUCGGCCCA